RNAcentral lists this ribosomal RNA (848 nucleotides) under Leucobacter sp. PDD-3b-20. Its description in RNAcentral is "bacterial SSU rRNA". It matches the Rfam family "Bacterial small subunit ribosomal RNA", at positions 59 to 917 of the family's 1533-position model. Lineage: Bacteria; Bacillati; Actinomycetota; Actinomycetes; Micrococcales; Microbacteriaceae. The record is from RNAcentral.
CAGUCGAACGAUGAAGCCCAGCUUGCUGGGUGGAAGAGUGGCGAACGGGUGAGUAACACGUGAGUAACCUGCCCUGAACUCUGGGAUAAGCACUGGAAACGGUGUCUAAUACUGGAUAUGACCUAUCACCGCAUGGUGUGUAGGUGGAAAGAUUUAUCGGUUCUGGAUGGACUCGCGGCCUAUCAGCUAGAUGGUGAGGUAAUGGCUCACCAUGGCGACGACGGGUAGCCGGCCUGAGAGGGUGACCGGCCACACUGGGACUGAGACACGGCCCAGACUCCUACGGGAGGCAGCAGUGGGGAAUAUUGCACAAUGGGCGCAAGCCUGAUGCAGCAACGCCGCGUGAGGGAUGACGGCCUUCGGGUUGUAAACCUCUUUUAGUAGGGAAGAAGCGCAAGUGACGGUACCUGCAGAAAAAGCACCGGCUAACUACGUGCCAGCAGCCGCGGUAAUACGUAGGGUGCAAGCGUUGUCCGGAAUUAUUGGGCGUAAAGAGCUCGUAGGCGGCUUGUCGCGUCUGCUGUGAAAUCCCGGGGCUCAACCCCGGGCCUGCAGUGGGUACGGGCAAGCUAGAGUGCGGUAGGGGAGAUUGGAAUUCCUGGUGUAGCGGUGGAAUGCGCAGAUAUCAGGAGGAACACCGAUGGCGAAGGCAGAUCUCUGGGCCGCUACUGACGCUGAGGAGCGAAAGCAUGGGGAGCGAACAGGAUUAGAUACCCUGGUAGUCCAUGCCGUAAACGUUGGGAACUAGAUGUAGGGCCUGUUCCACGGGUUCUGUGUCGUAGCUAACGCAUUAAGUUCCCCGCCUGGGGAGUACGGCCGCAAGGCUAGAACUCAAAGGAAUUGACGGG